UUGACCUCGGAUCAGGUAGGGAUACCCGCUGAACUUAAGCAUAUCAAUAAGCGGAGGAAAAGAAACCAACAGGGAUUGCUCUAGUAACGGCGAGUGAAGCAGCAAUAGCUCAAAUUUGAAAUCUGGCGUCUUCGACGUCCGAGUUGUAAUUUGUAGAGGAUGCUUCUGAGUAACCACCGACCUAAGUUCCUUGGAACAGGACGUCAUAGAGGGUGAGAAUCCCGUAUGCGGUCGGAAAGGUGCUCUAUACGUAGCUCCUUCGACGAGUCGAGUUGUUUGGGAAUGCAGCUCUAAAUGGGAGGUAAAUUUCUUCUAAAGCUAAAUAUUGGCCAGAGACCGAUAGCGCACAAGUAGAGUGAUCGAAAGAUGAAAAGCACUUUGGAAAGAGAGUUAAAAAGCACGUGAAAUUGUUAAAAGGGAAGGGAUUGCAACCAGACUUGCUCGCGGUGUUCCGCCGGUCUUCUGACCGGUCUACUCGCCGCGUUGCAGGCCAGCAUCGUCUGGUGCCGCUGGAUAAGACUUGAGGAAUGUAGCUCCCUCGGGAGUGUUAUAGCCUCUUGUGAUGCAGCGAGCGCCGGGCGAGGUCCGCGCUUCGGCUAGGAUGCUGGCGUAAUGGUCGUAAUCCGCCCGUCUUGAAACACGGACCAAGGAGUCUAACAUCUAUGCGAGUGUUCGGGUGUCAAACCCCUACGCGUAAUGAAAGUGAACGGAGGUGAGAACCGCAAGGUGCAUCAUCGACCGAUCCUGAUGUCUUCGGAUGGAUUUGAGUAAGAGCAUAGCUGUUGGGACCCGAAAGAUGGUGAACUAUGCCUGAAUAGGGUGAAGCCAGAGGAAACUCUGGUGGAGGCUCGCAGCGGUUCUGACGUGCAAAUCGAUCGUCAAAUUUGGGUAUAGGG
Molecule: ribosomal RNA, 896 nt
Filed under: Cladosporium cladosporioides
Lineage: Eukaryota; Fungi; Ascomycota; Dothideomycetes; Cladosporiales; Cladosporiaceae
Description: eukaryotic LSU rRNA
Rfam family: Eukaryotic large subunit ribosomal RNA
Source: RNAcentral